GGGAAUAUUGCGCAAUGGAGGAAACUCUGACGCAGUGACGCCGCGUAUAGGAAGAAGGUUUUCGGAUUGUAAACUAUUGUCGUGAGGGAAGAAAUUGACAGUACCUCAGGAGGAAGCUCCGGCUAACUAUGUGCCAGCAGCCGCGGUAAUACAUAGGGAGCAAGCGUUAUCCGGAUUUACUGGGUGUAAAGGGAGCGUAGACGGUGAUGCAAGUCAGAAGUGAAAGCCCGGGGCUCAACUCCGGGACUGCUUUUGAAACUGUGUGACUGGAGUGCAGGAGAGGUAAGCGGAAUUCCUGGUGUAGCGGUGAAAUGCGUAGAUAUCAGGAGGAACACCAGUGGCGAAGGCGGCUUGCUGGACUGUAACUGACGUUGAGGCUCGAAAGCGUGGGGAGCAAACAGG
RNAcentral lists this ribosomal RNA (402 nucleotides) under uncultured bacterium. Its description in RNAcentral is "bacterial SSU rRNA". It matches the Rfam family "Bacterial small subunit ribosomal RNA", at positions 357 to 776 of the family's 1533-position model. The record is from RNAcentral.